GCUAAACCUGUCAGGGUUUCUCGACACAUGUACGCUAUUUGUAUUUCUGAUAAUGGUCCAGUUACUGCAAAGAAAUUACUGCAGUUACAGGCAAGAAAUAUGAUUAUUGCAGCUUUAAUUAAAAGGAAAAUCACAACACUUGGCAGGAAAAUCAUGAUACCACAAAAGAGACGUGUGGCACAACAAAUGAAAAAGUAACAAACAUCCGAAUCAAGAGACUAAUCGUCCAACCAAUACGAUUCUAAACACUCGGCCGACGGUAUGCUCACCUGGCUCCAGCUUGAUAACCUUAAUUGCCGCGAGAUCGUUCAUGGACAGUCGUUUAGCCUGCGAAGUGAAAACGAUAUAAUUGUGGCGCUUCUUCGUCGUCGAUUGUCAGGUGCACGGCUAAAGGGAUACCGACCUUGUAGACAUCGCCGUAGGUACCACUGCCAAUUCUUUGGAUGAGCUCGUACUCAUCCUGGGGAUUCCUACGGCUGAUGUCACUGGACAACGCGUUCGCGUUCACGGCCAUCGCGAGCGGCGCGGAAAGGAUCCGACGACGAAGGGAAGAGAAAGACAGAGAGAGAGCGGGAGCGAAGCGUGACACCUAGUGCGUCGGGAUGCGCUCUCAGCCGCCGUGAAUCGAUGCACGCGUGAUCGCAGCUGCGUCCGCACGACGUAGCGGAACCAUCUAGCCCGUCUCGUCGGGAUGUCACACCAGCCGUCGAGACGUCGACGUCGCCAUUGUCCACAAUAGCCCGAACCACUCUGACAUUGGCCGCGAUCCGCGGCCACGACUAAUACGCAGUGGUGGUGUUACGAUAUGCGAUUUGCAGCUGCAGCGAGGAAUCGAUGCAUCGCUCGGCCACGGACCGACUGACAUGUGCAUACUCCGGGAAAUCCGGGGCCCAUAGCACGAACGACAGAAGGAACUCGGCCAAUGGUCGAUCAAUCGCGGUUUCAAAUUUUGAUCGAUCGCACUUUUCGAGAAUUUCAGAAUGACAGUUUUAAGUCACUGACGAGACAACACGAUACACGCCUAUAUCAGAAUGAAUUGAGGAUUACAAUCGAGGACCAAUCAGGUAAUCUAAAUUUUGAUUCCGCUUUAUUCGACUGGUCCAAUUGCAAUCCUCAGUCCACAGUCUAAUACGGACAUAAAGACCGUUGAUUUUACGAAAUUUUGCGUACUUAGAUAAUUUCGCUAUUUAAUAGCCUCCUGUCGGUAAAUUUGUCGAUAAAAAUAUGUAAAAUCAUUGUAGGUGAUAACUAAAAAAAUAUAGAAUAGAAUAGAAUUGAUAAAAAUAUUAAAUAAAAAUAUUAAAUAUA
Molecule: long non-coding RNA, 1308 nt
Organism: Odontomachus brunneus
Lineage: Eukaryota; Metazoa; Arthropoda; Insecta; Hymenoptera; Formicidae
Exons: 2
Source: RefSeq, a predicted model, not a curated record